Ictidomys tridecemlineatus (thirteen-lined ground squirrel) is the source of this 532-nucleotide non-coding RNA. The record is from RefSeq and is a predicted model, not a curated record. NCBI's taxonomy places the organism in Eukaryota, Metazoa, Chordata, Mammalia, Rodentia, Sciuridae.
UGAGGAUAAAUUUUGUGGCAUCAUUUCUUCUACUUUUAUAGAUGUUUCAAAUUUCUAUAACAAAUUUUUUAAAUGCACAUACCCAGAAAUUCUUCAUCAAGGAUUUUAGCACAUAAUAAUCAAAGAUUCAUGUCAAAGGAUUAUAUAGUGUUAUCAGUAAUGGCAAACAAUUAAAUAGAUAUGAAGAAUUGUUUUAAGUAAAUUGUGCUUCUUUUAUAGGAUACUAUAGGACAGUUUCAAAGAAGCAGCCAUAUGGGUUCAACAGAAGCCGGUGAUGGAAGGAACAAACCCUCUUUCUUACUCAGGAACUUAGACUAAGAAACUAGACUCCUGCCUGCCACAUACUAGGUGACAUGUGGCCAAAGACUCGGAAGGACUAAAGGGGACAGUGAAGAUGGCUUACUGGGACCUGAAGUCCACUCGAUGUAGCUCCGGUGCUCCUUGGAGGUUGCAGAUGCGCUCCGUGUGAGUGUACUUCAUUUGGAGGACAGGUCCUUAAGGAAAACACUGAGAAUAAAACGCAUUUCCAAAA